UUGACCUCGGAUCAGGUAGGGAUACCCGCUGAACUUAAGCAUAUCAAUAAGCGGAGGAAAAGAAACCAACAGGGAUUGCCUCAGUAACGGCGAGUGAAGCGGCAACAGCUCAAAUUUGAAAUCUGACCCCUUCGGGGCCCGAGUUGUAAUUUGUAGAGGGUGUUUCGGGCCGCGGCGCCCGGUCUAAGUUCCUUG
RNAcentral lists this ribosomal RNA (195 nucleotides) under Pseudocyphellaria glabra. Its description in RNAcentral is "partial 26S ribosomal RNA". It matches the Rfam family "Eukaryotic large subunit ribosomal RNA", at positions 1 to 192 of the family's 3401-position model. Lineage: Eukaryota; Fungi; Ascomycota; Lecanoromycetes; Peltigerales; Lobariaceae. The record is from RNAcentral.